Molecule: ribosomal RNA, 253 nt
Filed under: uncultured bacterium
Lineage: Bacteria
Description: partial 16S ribosomal RNA
Rfam family: Bacterial small subunit ribosomal RNA
Source: RNAcentral
UACGUAGGGGGCUAGCGUUGUUCGGAAUUACUGGGCGUAAAGCGCGUGUAGGCGGGUCUUUAAGUCAGGGGUGAAAUGCCAAGGCUCAACCUUGGAACUGCCUUUGAUACUGGAGACCUUGAGUCCGGGAGAGGUGAGUGGAAUUGCGAGUGUAGAGGUGAAAUUCGUAGAUAUUCGGAAGAACACCAGUGGCGAAGGCGACUUACUGGACACAUAUUGACGUUGAGGUGCGAAAGCGUGGGGAGCAAACAGG